CGAGGACGACGCUGGCGGCGUGCCUAACACAUGCAAGUCGGAACGGGUACUCCGUUCGGGGGUACUUAGUGGCGAACGGGUGAGUAACGCGUGAGGAACCUACCUUCCAGUGGGGGACAACAGUUGGAAACGACUGCUAAUACCGCAUAACACAACGAGACCGCAUGAUCUUGUUGUCAAAGCUUUAUGUGCUGGAAGAUGGCCUCGCGUCUGAUUAGCUAGUUGGUGGGGUAACGGCCUACCAAGGCGACGAUCAGUAGCCGGACCGAGAGGUUGAACGGCCACAUUGGGACUGAGAUACGGCCCAGACUCCUACGGGAGGCAGCAGGUGGGGAAUAUUGGGCAAUGGGGGAAACCCUGACCCAGCAACGCCGCGUGAAGGAAGAAGGCCUUCGGGUUGUAAACUUCUUUUACCAGGGACGAAGAACGUGACGGUACCUGGAGAAAAAGCAACGGCUAACUACGUG
Molecule: ribosomal RNA, 467 nt
Filed under: uncultured bacterium
Lineage: Bacteria
Description: bacterial SSU rRNA
Rfam family: Bacterial small subunit ribosomal RNA
Source: RNAcentral